Liolophura sinensis is the source of this 887-nucleotide long non-coding RNA. RefSeq lists it as uncharacterized. NCBI's taxonomy places the organism in Eukaryota, Metazoa, Mollusca, Polyplacophora, Chitonida, Chitonidae. The transcript is spliced from 3 exons. The record is from RefSeq and is a predicted model, not a curated record.
ACAACCGAGAAGUCGUAAGAAACUCAACUUCCAGUCUACGAUACAAAUAUUGUAUAGUCUACUAUUGCUGAGAAUUUCAAGUGAUUGUGAAUCAAGAAGUACUUUACCGCAGCAUACUAGAUUUGAAGCGUGAGGAAAGAAAUCCGAAGCGGCCACUACUUUCGUCUCCCCUCAAUGGCCACAUACGACAGGUUUGAGUCUUCAUCUGGUCCAUUUUAACCCACGUCAGUCUUUCCUCACUGAAUCGCCAGAGCACCACCUUAGCGGAAGUUGGCCCACUUAGGAAGAGCCGGAGGCGGUCUCUGGUGGCAGAUCUGUGAACUAGUCAUCAUGGGAGGUCACUCCGCCCAAGGCAGUCAGCCAGAAGAUUCGUACAACAUUCGCCGUGUGGCGGAUGCCAGAAUGUCGGCCAAACAAUGGAACUGUAAUUGUGCGUUGUAGGUAAAUAAACUUGUUCAUUGCGUGGAAGAUGAAAUCAGGCUGCUCACCAGGAAGUCAGCGUCUUCGUGUCAAAACUGAAAACAUAGCGCCCGAAGGUGUAAUGUAAGUUUAAUUGGACGCUCGUCAGAGGUUCUGUUGUGUCACUUAUAACCCAUUUUAAGACAUGGAUUAGCUGUUGGGUUUUUUAUAUACAUAACUCCUGAAAAAAAUAACAUCAGCACGUCUAAUGAAGAGUAAAAUAAACUAAAAUAACAAUCAACAUUUGAAUCGAAUUCACACCCGUAAGAUUGAUUUACAUGAGCAGUACUUAGAAUAAAGCCCAAACUGACGUAAACUGACAAGAGGCCGGAUGUCACUGCUUAUACAUGUGACAGUCUGUCAAUUAUUACAUUGUUCUACAUGUAAUUGUCCUCUGGGUUUGACUUUUAUUUUCUAUUUUUACAUAA